RNAcentral lists this ribosomal RNA (546 nucleotides) under uncultured Basidiomycota. Its description in RNAcentral is "eukaryotic LSU rRNA". The stretch from base 164 to 317 matches the Rfam family "5.8S ribosomal RNA". Lineage: Eukaryota; Fungi; Basidiomycota. The record is from RNAcentral.
CAUUAUUGGAUUCUUGUAAAGGGGGAGUCGGUGCUGGCGUCUAGCAAGUGCACGGCUCUCCCGAUGCAAAUGACACCUGUGCAUGCCUGACCUGCUCGUGCAGGUCCAUCACAUACUCUCUUGAAGACCCUCGUAUGUAUUUGGAUUGCAAAUGGAUUUGGACAACUUUCAACAACGGAUCUCUUGGCUCUCGCAUCGAUGAAGAACGCAGCGAAAUGUGAUAAGUAAUGUGAAUUGCAGAAUUCAGUGAAUCAUCGAAUCUUUGAACGCACCUUGUGCCCUUUGGACAUCCAAGGGGCAUGCCUGUUUGAGUGUCUUGAAGCUCUCAAGCCAACCUACCUUUGUCGAGGUGGUUGUUGGUUUGGACUUUGGAUGCAUUUGCUGGACUUGUCGUUGAGACCAGCUCAUCCGAAAUGCAUUUGCUGGCCUGCUGGUCCGUGAACUCGGUGUGAUAAGCAUCACUCGCUGGGUGUAAUGGACUUUGAAAAGCCGCUUUGUUCCCCCCCGUGGACAAGUGAUUUGACCUCAAAUCAGGUAGGAUUACCC